GAUGAACGCUGGCGGCGUGCCUAAUACAUGCAAGUCGAGCGAACAGAUAAGGAGCUUGCUCCUUUGACGUUAGCGGCGGACGGGUGAGUAACACGUGGAUAACCUACCUAUAAGACUGGGAUAACUUCGGGAAACCGGAGCUAAUACCGGAUAACAUAUUGAACCGCAUGGUUCAAUAGUGAAAGGCGGCUUUGCUGUCACUUAUAGAUGGAUCCGCGCCGUAUUAGCUAGUUGGUAAGGUAACGGCUUACCAAGGCAACGAUACGUAGCCGACCUGAGAGGGUGAUCGGCCACACUGGAACUGAGACACGGUCCAGACUCCUACGGGAGGCAGCAGUAGGGAAUCUUCCGCAAUGGGCGAAAGCCUGACGGAGCAACGCCGCGUGAGUGAUGAAGGUCUUCGGAUCGUAAAACUCUGUUAUAGGGGAAGAACAAAUGUGUAAGUAACUGUGCACAUCUUGACGGUACCUGAUCAGAAAGCCACGGCUAACUACGUG
RNAcentral lists this ribosomal RNA (497 nucleotides) under uncultured bacterium. RNAcentral describes it as "partial 16S ribosomal RNA". It matches the Rfam family "Bacterial small subunit ribosomal RNA", at positions 28 to 507 of the family's 1533-position model. The record is from RNAcentral.